CGCUUCUAACGUAAAAUGUAAGUUAAGGAUUUAGUUUUUGUUUUUUACAAUCUUUAGUAAUGCCAACGUUGUAUUUAGGCGCUAUAUCUUAUUAGUUCGUUGAGACCCGUUGAGUUUAACUUCACGUUGCUGUUUUGCAUGUCUUCACACAACGACACAAUUAUUUGCUUCCAGUUUCGAUUUAAUUGGUAUUGGUGGAGAUAAUGUCAAUAUAUGUGACUGUGCCCUUAUAUUUCAGUGUUUUAUUAGACUAAUUUAUUGUGGGCGCAAGAAAUUUCUGGCGCGAAUCGCGUGCGGGAGAAGCAAACGUCAUCAACACACGGUUUACUUCAUCCGGAGAAAGAUUAACGACCCUGAGGAGUCGCGCAGGAGUUGGACAAGGCCAGGGAUGAAGACUUGAUUCAGAAACACCGCCGCGAUCCCUUUGUAGUCUUUUAAGAGGUUGGUGGUGAAUAUCGUGCUGAGGUGUUCAUGUCCUCGUUUUUAAUUCAACAUUUGUGCCAAGCACUUGAUUUGAUAGCUUUAGACGUAAUAAGGAAUAUGUUGAAGAAAUAAAAAGGUAUUAUGUCAUCUUUUACAACCUCAUAGUCAUUUAAAGUCUUUGUGCAAUACUUGUGCUUUUUAAAAUGCAUUUCACACCUGAGUCCUCAAGUGAACUGAAUAAAGGGUCAAAACGUGACAAACUGUA
Molecule: long non-coding RNA, 688 nt
Organism: Puntigrus tetrazona (Sumatra barb)
Lineage: Eukaryota; Metazoa; Chordata; Actinopteri; Cypriniformes; Cyprinidae
Exons: 2
Source: RefSeq, a predicted model, not a curated record